Molecule: long non-coding RNA, 375 nt
Filed under: Nicotiana benthamiana
Lineage: Eukaryota; Viridiplantae; Streptophyta; Magnoliopsida; Solanales; Solanaceae
Description: long non-coding RNA (NBEN_LNC025996)
Source: RNAcentral
AGUAAAACUUUAGGUUAAACCACCAGAAACCCUAGAAGCCGAUAGGUCACCAAAAAAAAUCACCCAAAAAUCAUCAGAUAAUCUCCCAGAACGUUCGAGUGAAGAAAACACACUCCGAUAUCACGAUGAAAAACUCAGAAAGGUGUCCGAUAGGUCGGAAUCUUCAUCGACCAUGAGGUCUCAGAAAACACCCCCAAAAAUCUCGAAACAGACUUCAUCCAAGACAACGAAGUACAUAUAAACAUAGUCGGAUCGUCGUCUAGGCUCUGAUACCAUGUUAACAUCGAGAUUAAACCGAAAAAUGAUGAAGAAUGUAGAGAGAGAAAGUAGAGAGAAGGAGGAGCGUUUGAGAAGACUCUGGAAUCCAGAGUGUUU